Molecule: ribosomal RNA, 455 nt
Filed under: Mycolicibacterium neoaurum
Lineage: Bacteria; Bacillati; Actinomycetota; Actinomycetes; Mycobacteriales; Mycobacteriaceae
Description: bacterial SSU rRNA
Rfam family: Bacterial small subunit ribosomal RNA
Source: RNAcentral
GACGAACGCUGGCGGCGUGCUUAACACAUGCAAGUCGAACGGAAAGGCCCUUCGGGGUACUCGAGUGGCGAACGGGUGAGUAACACGUGGGUGAUCUGCCCUGCACUUUGGGAUAAGCCUGGGAAACUGGGUCUAAUACCGAAUAUGAUCAUCGGCUUCAUGGUCGGUGGUGGAAAGCUUUUGCGGUGUGGGAUGGGCCCGCGGCCUAUCAGCUUGUUGGUGGGGUAAUGGCCUACCAAGGCGACGACGGGUAGCCGGCCUGAGAGGGUGACCGGCCACACUGGGACUGAGAUACGGCCCAGACUCCUACGGGAGGCAGCAGUGGGGAAUAUUGCACAAUGGGCGCAAGCCUGAUGCAGCGACGCCGCGUGAGGGAUGACGGCCUUCGGGUUGUAAACCUCUUUCAGCACAGACGAAGCGCAAGUGACGGUAUGUGCAGAAGAAGGACCGGCCAA